Molecule: long non-coding RNA, 700 nt
Organism: Neofelis nebulosa (Clouded leopard)
Lineage: Eukaryota; Metazoa; Chordata; Mammalia; Carnivora; Felidae
Exons: 2
Source: RefSeq, a predicted model, not a curated record
AUUUAUCCACGGAAUACAGGUGUGCUCUUUCAAAGGGACACAUGCACCCCUGUGUUUAUAGCAGCACUAUCAACAAAAGCCAAGGAUGAGUUGGCAGUGUGGAACAGCACUUCAAAUGGGAAUUAUAAGACUGAAUAUUCGGUGCAGUACUUCUAAGUUUUGUCAAGCUGUGUGGCCUUGAGGAAGUCAUUUCAUAUCCCUAUAUCUCCAAUCCCUCUUCCCAAAAGUAAAGAAAAUGAUAUCUGACUUGCUGUAGAUUUGCUGUUGUGAGGAUCACAGCAGUGUCACAUAUAAAAGUACCAUGAAAGCUUUAAGUCACUAAACAGAUGUAAAGUAUUCUCAACCAUGCAAAAUAUAAAAGCAUAAAAGUUUGUUACUAUUAUAAAUGUGAACGGGCAUUUCCCAGGGACUUUAGUACGAAGGUAAAAGAAUACUGACUUGAAUUUUGCAAUAAAAACAUGCAUUCUUUAACUCCAGGGUCCAGUAGAUGCAGCUCAGAUUUUUCAGGCACAUCCUCCCGAUGGGGACAAAGAGAAACUCAGGACAAAAUUUAUAUUUAAAAAAUUCUGCCUGAAAGCAUUGGAGAACCAAUAAUGCAGUGAAAAGCUAUGUGGCUAAGAUCAUUUAGAAGAUAGAAAUACAGAGAGGGGAAACCUGGCAUUAGCGUCUGCUUUCAUCUUGUAUUGUCAAUUUUAGGGCA